UCUCCUCGCACGGUAGCCGUCACGCCAU
RNAcentral lists this small RNA (28 nucleotides) under Bombyx mori (domestic silkworm). Its description in RNAcentral is "ovarian small RNA-29669". The record is from RNAcentral. Lineage: Eukaryota; Metazoa; Arthropoda; Insecta; Lepidoptera; Bombycidae.